Molecule: ribosomal RNA, 497 nt
Filed under: uncultured bacterium
Lineage: Bacteria
Description: partial 16S ribosomal RNA
Rfam family: Bacterial small subunit ribosomal RNA
Source: RNAcentral
GAUGAACGCUGGCGGCGUGCCUAAUACAUGCAAGUCGAGCGAACGGACGAGAAGCUUGCUUCUCUGAUGUUAGCGGCGGACGGGUGAGUAACACGUGGAUAACCUACCUAUAAGACUGGGAUAACUUCGGGAAACCGGAGCUAAUACCGGAUAAUAUUUUGAACCGCAUGGUUCAAAAGUGAAAGACGGUCUUGCUGUCACUUAUAGAUGGAUCCGCGCUGCAUUAGCUAGUUGGUAAGGUAACGGCUUACCAAGGCAACGAUGCAUAGCCGACCUGAGAGGGUGGUCGGCCACACUGGAACUGAGACACGGUCCAGACUCCUACGGGAGGCAGCAGUAGGGAAUCUUCCGCAAUGGGCGAAAGCCUGACGGAGCAACGCCGCGUGAGUGAUGAAGGUCUUCGGAUCGUAAAACUCUGUUAUUAGGGAAGAACAUAUGUGUAAGUAACUGUGCACAUCUUGACGGUACCUAAUCAGAAAGCCACGGCUAAGUACGUG